RNAcentral lists this ribosomal RNA (398 nucleotides) under uncultured Eurotiomycetes. RNAcentral describes it as "partial small subunit ribosomal RNA". It matches the Rfam family "Eukaryotic small subunit ribosomal RNA", at positions 30 to 432 of the family's 1831-position model. Lineage: Eukaryota; Fungi; Ascomycota; Eurotiomycetes. The record is from RNAcentral.
GCUUGUCUCAAAGAUUAAGCCAUGCAUGUCUAAGUACAAGCCUCAGUAAGGUGAAACCGCGAAUGGCUCAUUAAAUCACACCUAAUCUACUGGAAAGUUACUAGUUACUUGGAUAACUGAGGUAAUUCUUGAGCUAAUACAUGCGAAAAAUCUCGACUUCGGAAGGGGUGUAUUUAUUAGAUAAAAAACCAAUGCCCUCCGGGGCUCCUUGGUGAUUCAUAAUAACUUAACGAAUCGCAUGGCCUUGCGCCGGCGAUGGUUCAUUCAAAUUUCUGCCCUAUCAACUUUCGAUGGUAAGAUAGUGGCUUACCAUGGUCUCAACGGGUAACGGGGAAUUAGGGUUCUAUUCCGGAGAGGGAGCCUGAGAAACGGCUACCACAUCCAAGGAAGGCAGCAGG